CUGAAAAUGGGCCUCAACCGGUAUGGCCCAGCAGUCUCAGGGAUUGGCUCCACAUCUUCCGAAUCUGGACCGGCCUCCACGGCUGCCAAGUGUCACGGGAUGACUCUUUAAGCCUUCCGCCCGUGCGGCACUUAGACUUGAAUACCUCGAUGAACAAGCUAAGUAAGCCUUCGAAGCCUCGCUUCCCCGGAUCGAAUCACAAAGAAAGCUAAGAUAGCUUGGAGAAUGCUAGAAUCACUUAGAAGAUGGGAGAAAGGAAGCUUUGUAUUGAAACUUAGGAGAACUUUACAAUUGCUUACAAUUCUUGGAUGCUCCGCCACGUUCUUGAUUUCUCCGGGACGUUCCAGAAGCUUCCAUGAAGACAUGGCUUCAUGGGCUUAGAUAUAUGAUGUCUUGGGCAUUUUCUUUGUUUUUAACAUGCGGCCCGUGACAUCCUCCCCCACUUAAGCCGUCGACGUCCUCGUCGACUCUUGCCUCUCGAAUGUCUGAAUCAAGUCCUUAUAUUGCCAUAAGGACAUCUCCUUCUCCCAUGUUGCUUCGGAGUAUGGUAGCCCCUUCCAUUUGACAAAGUACUCCACAUGCUUUGGUUGUCUUGGUCGCACCACGACACGCUUGGCUUCAAUGCUCUCCACUUCUUUGUCAAAUGCCUCCGUCAUCAAAGGGGGUGCUCGAUGAGACUCACCUCUACUUGGUUCCUCAUCGUCCGCAUGAUAAGGCUUCAAGUUGCUCACAUGGAACACCGGGUGAAACUUGAGGCGGGGUGGGAGUUCCACAACAUACGCGGCUUUGCCAACCUUCUUGAUGAUAGGGAAUGGUCCCUCAUAUUUCUGCAACAAGCUCUUGUGCAAGCCACGAGUACUCUUGUGCUGAGACGCAUUGAGCUUCAUAAAGACUUGGUCGCCAGUUUGGAACUCCACAUUCCUUCGCUUGCGAUCCGCCCAUUUCUUCAUCUUCUUUGAAGCCUUCUCCAAAUGAGCCCGAGCAAGUUCGUGGGCUAAUUGCCACUCCUUAGCGGUUUUGAAAGCGGCUGGACUAUUCCCCGUGUAGCCAAUCACGACCGUGUUCGGGGUCAAGGGUUGUUGCCCUAUAGCCAACUCGAACGGACUUUUCCCCGUCGACUCCGAACGUUGCAAGUUAUAAGAGAAUUUGGGCAACAUCAAGUAACUUAGCCCAAUCUCGUUGAUUGGCACUAACAUAGUGCCGCAUAUAAGUCUCCAACAAUGCAUUAACCCGCUCCGUUUGUCCAUCGGUUUGGGGAUGAAAAGCUGUGGAGAAGUCUAACUUUGUGAAGUACCUUGCUUCACCAAGUUGAUCGAAUAAGUCGGCGAUCAACGGAAGUGGGUACUUGUUCUUGAUCGUAAUCUUGUUCAAUGCUCUAUAGUCGAUGCACAACCUUAGGCUACCUUCUUUCUUGCGUUGGAACAAGACGGGUGCACCAUAUGGGGACUUGGAGGGUUGGAUGUAGCCAGCAUCAAGCAGCUCGUUGAGUUGCUUCCUCAAUUCCUCCAACUCGGGUGGCGACAUCCUAUAAGGUGAUUUGGAGGGAGGCUUAGCACCAGGCUCCAACUCAAUCGCAUGGUCGACCUCUCUCCUUGGUGGCAACUUCUUUGGCAGUUCCUUAGGCAUCACGUCCGCAAACUCCACAAGGACGUCUUCCACUUGUUUCGGCAAAGGCCCGUGCUUCUCCUCCCCUUCAUUCAACAUUAGGGUUGCAAGAAAUGUGGCCUCGCCUUUCUUCCAAGACUUGGCAAAUUGAAUUGCCGACAAGUGCUGGGUACACUUCUUGGCUUGCCUUUCCAAUGGCACCAGGCAAGGUUGUCUUCCGUCGGCUAGGAUACAGAAAAUAUUGUAGAAGGGAAUGGGAAAGGCUCGUACCUUGUCCAUGAACUCUAACCCAAUGACUACGCCAUAGUCGUCCAUCUUGACUACGGUGAAGUCGAUCGUUCCCUUCCAUGUGCCAAUGUCUACGUGCACAUUACGCGCAACUCCAACAAUGGGGGUGGCAGCGGAAUUUACCGUCUUCACGCUACCAGGCUCCUUUGUGACUCGGAGGCCCAGCCUUGUGGCUUCCUCCGACGUCAUGAAGUUGUGUGUUGCUCCCGUGUCCACCAACACACGCGUCGUCUUGUCACCAGUCUUGACGUCGACGAACAAUGAUCCUCCCCCAACUUGAGCCUUAGGUUGUGGGAGGGUUGUCUGGAUGGCAUUCAGUAGACUGAUGCAUCCCAUCGUUGCAUCGUUACUCUCCUCGGCCUUGUCCUCCUUGAAGGCCAUAGCCUUAAGGGCCUUCUUUUGUGGGCAAUCUCGCAUCAUGUGAGGGCCAUCGCAUAGGUAACAAGUGGGUUGCCAAGACUUACCUUUGCCUUUGUCAUGCUUAUCGGCUUUCUUUUCCUUCGGUUUGCUUGUCUCGGCCUUGUCCUUCGGCUUGUGUUCUCCCCCACUUUUCUCAUGGUUACCCCUCUUCCCCGUGGACUUGGAAUCACCUUGGUGGCUUGAUUUAAACUCAAUCAAGGAUUCGGCAGCGGCAAUGGCAUCAGACAAUGUUUGCACGUGUCUCCUUUGUAGUUCGAGUUUUGCCCAAUUUUGCAGUCCACUCAUGAAGUACAUGAGCUUGUCUUCCUCUAACAUGUUGGGCACCUCGAACAACAAACUCACAAAGGUGUUGACAUAGUCUUUGACACUCCCCGUUUGCUUGAGCCACCUUAGUUUCUCCUUGGCUUCGUACUUGGCAUUUUGGGGAUAGAAGUGCAACAUAAGAUCUUUCUUAAAUUCAUCCCAAGUGGUGAGAGAAAACGUACCUUGCUCAAUCUCCAUGCUCCGACGACGCCACCACAUAAGGGCAUUGUCAGCUAAGAACAUGGUUGCCGUUGAGAUUUUGGACUCGUCAUCUUCAAGCUUUAGGUACUCGAAGUAUCGCUCCACGUUCCACACGAAUGUGUCGAGCUCCUUUGCUUCCCUCUUCCCAUUAUAGGAUUUGGGUUUAAAGGAGUCGAUUACCUUGGAGUCCAACGCCUUGAUUUCCCUCGACCCUUGCACGAAUUGCUUCACGACUGCUUCUUUACAAAACGCCACAUCUCCCUUGAGUUCCCUUGUGUCCUUUAUUUCUUCUUGAAGUGCCACAAACCUUGCCUCUAUGUUGUCAAGGUGAACCUGGACUUCCCUCCGCAUCUUGUCUGCCAUGGUGUUGAGGGCGCCAAGGAGCUCAUCUCGUAGCCCUUCCACCAAGCCACGCAGUUCAUCCUUACCAUUGUCCACCAUGGUUUGGAUUUCCUCCUUGUCGACAACGUCCUCAUCAAGUCGAGUAUCGAACUCGAGUAUGGUUCGUUCCACCUUCUCGAGUCGCUCUUCCAUGGUCUCCAUCGAUGCUUGCAAGUCCUUUAACUUUGGCUUGCUCUUGGCAACGUCUUGGACCUCGGCAGCACGCUCCCUUAGCUCGGAGACUCCGGACACCGUCUCUCCACUUGCCAUAUCCUACUUUCCUUCAAGUGAUUCACGAGCUUGGCUCUGAUACCAGCUGUCACGGGAUGACUCUUUAAGCCUUCCGCCCGUGCGGCACUUAGACUUGAAUACCUCGAUGAACAAGCUAAGUAAGCCUUCGAAGCCUCGCUUCCCCGGAUCGAAUCACAAAGAAAGCUAAGAUAGCUUGGAGAAUGCUAGAAUCACUUAGAAGAUGGGAGAAAGGAAGCUUUGUAUUGAAACUUAGGAGAACUUUACAAUUGCUUACAAUUCUUGGAUGCUCCGCCACGUUCUUGAUUUCUCCGGGACGUUCCAGAAGCUUCCAUGAAGACAUGGCUUCAUGGGCUUAGAUAUAUGAUGUCUUGGGCAUUUUCUUUGUUUUUAACAUGCGGCCCGUGACACAAGGUAGCUGAGAAGACUGCAUUUGAUAUAAAGAUAGAGAAGUUCGAUGCAGCGGCAAAGAUCAAGAUCAUAAAGGAGGUUAGGACUUUCACGGACUUGGGGCUGAAGGAGGCGAAGGAGUUGGUGGAGAAGGUCCCUGUUGUGGUGAAGAAGGGCAUGACGAAAGAGGAGGCAGGGCCCAUUGUUGACAAGCUUAAGGAAUUGGGUGCUACUGUGGUACUGGAAUGAACUGGUUUCUUUUUGUUUUUUACCCAUUCUUUUUUUCAUCCACUUAGAAAAACAACGAGGACAAAGCCGUAUUUCCUUAAGUGGGGUCGGCUAUAUGAUCCUAGAAUGCCAUAGCGCUCGAUUUUACGUCAAGUCUUCUGUUAGUUUCAAGCGAUAAAUGAAGAUAAUCCUAAAACUUAUAACCGCUCCUUUUUGAUCCGUCCACGGUUCACCUAAUGAUUUUUUAUUUUUUUUUAUGUUCUUAUAUAGUUACAUUGGCAAGUUUUCUGAGAUAUGCUAUGUUUAUGGCUAUUUUUUUAAGUUCUUGUGAAAUAAAUGAAUUUUCCUUCAAAUAAUUUGAGAUAUGUAUAUCUGUAUGUACAUGAGGUGAAAGAAUUUUCCUUCGAGGGGAUUAAGAGGGAUUAAACUUGAACUUAUCUGUUCCGAAACUAUCAUUUGUGAGGUUCAGAAGAGAUAAGUUUCCUUCAUGAGUAAUUCAUGUUCUACCUUUCAAGUUGCACAAAUUUGCCCCUUGAACUUACAAAAUUAUCGACUUUGGUCUCUCUCUCAACUAUUUUUCCUGAAGCAUAACACACAUUAGCCUCAUUUAAAUUGCCCUCACUUUCUACAUUUCACAAUUUUCAAAUUUCCGAAAUUAUGUUUCUGUGCAGGAUGUAACCUUAAAAGGCAAUUGACAUGAGAAAAUUGGUUAGUUGGGAAUGUAACUCAUAUGCUUUGAGCAAAAAUACAUUAAAAAUAGGAGCAAGUGUGCCCGACUUGUAAAUUAACAUAAGUCGGGCACACUCGUUCCAAUUUUGUUGGAUGUAAGUCGACUUUAAAUGAAAAGAGACGUGCAAAAUUAAAAGGACCAAUUUGCGACGAAAACAAUUUAGUGCUCAUAGUGGGAAAAACCGAAAAAUUCAGGGGGGAAUUUGUCAAAAACCUAGCUUCUUGUUAUUCAUUUAUUUUUUUGAAGGAUGGAGGAUAUACAUAUUAUUCUUGAGCAACAACAGUUGCUUCACCUUUGUCGAGCAACUCAUACAUAGUCCUGGUCCUCUUCUGCAAAUCCCAUUGGUACAUUUUCCACGGCAUCGCCGCCACCAUCGCCACCGCAAUUCCCAUUGCUAUCUCCUUCACCAGGUUCGGCCCUUUCAGUGGCGGAUGCGGCACCCUACCCGCCGCCAUUACACACUGUCUCUAUAUCGAUAUAUCCUUCCUCUACCAUCACAAGAACAAACACCAUAUUAAUUAUUUUUUGUUAUUUCAACCAUGCAAAUUUAGAAUGAACGUAGAAAAUUACGGACUUGGCUACGCUAACAUGCAUUUACUGAUAUCGCAUUUACUGACUACAUUGUCGAUACCUCGAUAAUAAAAUGAAUUCCACUUACAUGGACGGUAGAGAGAGAGAUACCUGAGGGGGAGUUCGGAGGAGCAACACAGAUACACACUCUGGUUUCGCCGUUAAUCGAAUGUUUAGUUUUUGGUUUAAAGCUUCAAAUCGUCGGAGUGGUUUAAUUUAUAGGCAAAUGUUGAGAAAUCCGAUUGUGAUUGGGUACGUGUUAGUUAAAUACGUAGUCAAAUGCUGCAUUAUAGUCUGCAGAUUUGGUGAUUUCUGUUUUAAGGGAGAGGGUGUGUGUAUUUGUGGAGAGAAAGAAUGUUGAUUAGGCUUGAUAUAUAUAUAUUUAGUUUUGUGAAGAGAUAAUGAGAAUGAGGAUCCUCUCUCCGAAUCCUGUCUAGAUCCUCAAAUCGUGUCCGUUCAUUGUACAUCGUGCGAUCAGUUUUCGUCAAGUAUUGUUCAUGUUAAUUUUAAAUAAAAAUAUUUAAAAUGAUUUCUAAUCGCAGGAUGUACGAUAAACGGAUACAAUACGAGAAUCCCCAAUACCCUCACAAAGAAGAUCCAGAGAGGAUCCGCAUUCAGAUAAUAAUGUCAUUAAUUGCCGGUAUUCCUCUUCAGUAAGAGGUCUUAGGUUUGGUUCUCGUCAAAAAAUAAAUUUGGAUCACAUUAUUGUUAGUCCAUUGUGAGCCUAAUCCCACCUCUUUCAUUGGGGUGGAUAAUAUUGUUUGUUCAAAAAAUAAAAAGUCAUUAAUUGUGUUAUGAAUUUUUUAUAAAUCUAGAAUUAUAUUUCAACUAUUCGAAAGUUUUUUACAAGUGAGCCUCUAUCUACGAUGUAUGGACACGGAUACGGAAAUAUGCAAUAUGUAUUUGUGUGCUUUUGGUUGAGUAUAGUUUCGAUAAGGUCCGCCACUUGAAUAUUCUAGCAAUUGACGAUCUUAACAUUGAAUUAACACCAAAUUUUUAGUAUGCUAUUAUAGAUAUUGUUUAAGGACCUUAGGAACUUACUAGUGAAAAUCUAGUGGUUGGGGAUCUUACGGAGCAAGUGAUGUAAGAUCAUGGACCAUACCUUUGAUUGACGGUUUGAUUCUCAUUAAAUGUCAUUGUGGGAGACUUAUGAGAGUUUUGGGUAUGUGAAUUUAUCGAGAGAAUCUAAAUGUGGACUUGUGCUUUAUUUUUGGCGGUGAUAAAGCUUGAUGUCUUGAAUUCCAUGCUAGAGUGCGUUAGUGUGGACCUCAGGUGAGUGACUUUAAUAUAGGUGAUAUUGGUGAUUACCCUGUUUUCAUAAUUGUUAUCCUAUGUGGAUAUGACUUGGUUUUAUAAAUAUGUUUUCUAUGGAAUUGUUAUUUUUAAUGCUUAGCCAUUGAAUUAAGUUUAUGAAAUGAGAUUUGACAUGUAAAUAUUGAAAUAUGGUUUGAUUGGUUUGAUUGCCAUGUUGUGAUGAAAUGUGAGGACUAGUGGUAGACCGUUAACCCGUGGUGAUGGGGAUUUGUUGAUUCAAUAUGGUUUCAUCUUCCGCUUCGUUGAUUCGUUCUAAAUUUAGUAUUUGUGCCUUAUUUCCCUUGGUUGAGCUUUUGUAAAUUAGGUAACUUGUACUUGUCUCAUUUCUUUGAGCCGUUGUAUAUAUGGUUGUUGGCCUUCCGCAAUUUCGUUGAGUGGUGGUCCGGAAUCGUAUCCACUCAGAUUCCAUUGAGAGAUGGUCCGAAAUCCCUCCUACUCCGCGAUUUUGUUGAGUGAUGGUCCGUAAUCGUAUCUAGCUUGGGUUUCAUUAGUGGUCCUGCUUGGUUAAUCCGCAUUGGGGGACCGUACUAUAUAUGGAUCGUGCUUGGUUAAUCCGCGUUGGGCAAUCCUUAUGGCCAAGGUAUAAAAUAUCAAUGAUAUCAAAAAUAUCGGUAGUCCAAAAACAUGGAAAUAUCAAUGGAAAUAUCGGGAUAUUAUCGAUAUUGAUAAAAAUAAUAUGGAAACCACAGAAAUUGUAAGAAAAACUUGGAAAUUUUUAUUGAAACUUUGCAUUAUGUUUAUUUAGUCAAUUAUCUAUUAGUUUAUCACAAAAAUUGGAAGGAAAUGCGUUGCAUGAUGGAUUUAACUUAUUUAAGUUGAUUAUAUAGCGAGCUGGCAAACAUUGUAAGUGUAGAAAAUAUGUAGUAAUUAAUGAAAGAAGUUUAAAAACACCAUAAUCAUUUAUAUAUAAUGAAUUAGUACAAUAUUUUACACUUUAUACAUUGCAUGGUAAGAUACAUGAGUGACUUAGUACCACAUAGAGUUCCUAUGAGGUUCAAAAUUUUCACUAUCUUCAUCAUCUCUAUGUGUAGAGUAAGUGUAUUGUGAAGAGUAGUUAUCAAAUGAUAAAUCCCCAAAAUAGUUUUUCAUGUAAUUGUUAACAUGCCACCCAUAUGGAUCCGAGAUUGGUUGACGUUGUCCAUAAGCAAAAUCAUUUGAAGAUUGAGUCUCGGAUUCUUUCCAUGAGUCGCUCGUUUCCAUCCCAACAGGAAUGGGAUAUGAAAGGUAGGGAAAUGGUUGGUUAUGAGUAUAACCAUAGUUACUACUUCUCACUCCAACAGAGUCCGAAGUUAUAGAUAACAAGUCAUCUUCUUAACUUGACAAAAUCCCCUUGCCUCUUUCUCUACGAGUAUAGUCCUUCCCUAUGGCACCAAUUCCUGGUCCUACCCGCCUACUGCCAUGGUCCUCAUCCUGUGUUGCAUGCGUGAAGUUUGCCUCACCAGUGAAGGGGCUCAUAAAUCCGGGAGGUGGUCCAACAUAGUUUCCAUAUCCACCACUACCUCCAGCUCCACCUCCGGUGGUAGAUGAGUCUCUUGAUCUUGUAGUAGAGCUAUCAUUAGUAUCAGCAUGAUCUUGUGGUUGUGUAGGAUUGGAAGAAUGUGGAAUUCCAGUGUUUCUUGGUCUUGGGCGCAAAAGUUCUUCGAAAGAGUCAGCGCUGCUAGAUCACACCUCCUCCUCUAAUACUCUUUCUACAUUUAUCCCUUCAUUACGUGCUUCUUCAGCAACUUUGGGAGCUGGGUUGCCUUCAUCAUCAUCUAAAUGAAGAGGUCUAAUUCAUUGAUAAAGUUGGUUAGCCUCUGUAUCAUCAUCUUCAGCAACAAUAUCAAACACAUCUAGUGGGUCACCACGGUCGACAUGAUCUAUUUCUGCUUCCUUAUCUCAAAUUUGAAGCUUCAUGUUGUAGUAGCAAUAAACUAAUUUUUCCAACCGACUAUGAGCCAACCUAUUUCUUUGCUUUGUGUGUAUGAGUGCAAAUGUACUCCAAUUUGUUUUAUAAGUAGAUAAGGAAGUUGUUUGUGAUAAUACUUUGAUUGCUAACUUUCUCACAGUUGGUGCAUUAGUCCCAUACAUGAUCCACCAUUCAGCUAUAAUGAAAAACAAUGUUGAUAAGCCUAAUAACUCCAACAAAUUCUAUUAUAAUAGUGAAAUAUGUUUACACUCACUAGGAGACAUUUUUGUUCGAGCAGCAACUGAUGUUGAUUCUCCAAAAGUUCUUCUUGCAUCUUUAAACCAUGUUAGCUGAAUUCAAUAAAUCGUGUUAGUUUAACCCAACAAUGUAAUUAUUAUAAUUUAAGUAAUUGUGUACCUCAUUUCCAAAUUGGCUAACUGCUGGUGAUGCAGGGUUUAAUUUAGAGUAUACAUUAUGUACAACACAUAUAAGGGUACCAUCAUCUCCAACACCGGGUCUGUAUUGGUAUCGAGGAUUCAAAUAAUAUGUUGUUCAAAGAAACACAUACUCUAAUAAGAGAAAUAAUACUUAUGCAACUAAAGAAAUGAAUUGCAAAUUAUGACAUAAUUUAUACCUGCUGCAUGCAAAUCGUGGUAUAAUGUUUUAUACCAUCGGUCAUCAAUUAUCCUUAUGACCCACCUUGCACCAUGAUUUCUUUCCAAGUCAUCCUUCACUACACGCAUCAACUCAUAUAUUGCCCCCAUAGUAGGAUACACUUAUGUGUCAACGAUCCGUAAAACUUUGUAAAGAGGUUCAAACACUUGGCGCACAUGUUCUGAUUGAGUCCAAAAAGCAUGAUCAAACACUAUACUUUCCACCAUACGACCUGCAUUUGAGCGGCUAAAAUUGUGGUUGGCCCAAUCGUCACAAGUGAAUAAUUGCUUCAACCCUGCUUUCUUCUUAAGUAGGUUGUCUAAUGCAAUAUAGUUGGUGGCGAAUCGAGUGGUAGAUGUACAAAUAAUUUCUCCUUUGCAAAAUCCACGCAUCUUUGCCAACAACCAACUGUGAUUGUAAAUAUAAUUUGUGAUCGUUCUAGCUCUUUUUACCAUAGAAGCAACAUUUUUUCUCUUCCCCAUUGCCUCAAACAUGAGAUCAAUACAAUGAGCGGCACAUGAUGUCCAAAACACAUUAUGAUGUUUCAUUAACUUUUUUCCAGCUUUGACAAAUGCAGAACCGUUGUCGGUCACAACUUGGACAGCAUUAUGCUCUCCCACCUCCAUGAUUACAUCCCUCAAUAAUUUGUAAAUAUACUUGUAGUUCUUUAUAUGGUCUGAAGCAUCAACAGACUUCAAAAAAAUUGUCCUUCCCUUGGAGUAUACCAUGAAGUUUAUGAUAGACAAUCUAGUCGAGCCAGUCCAUCCGUCACACAUGAUUGUGCAACCAUUAGUUUCCCACUUUGACCUCAACUUGUUAACAUACUCGCCAAUGUCUUUAUACUCCAUAUCCAAAUAUUUGUUUCUUACCUCAUAGGGAGUGGGAGGUUGUACUCCAACACCGGCAUGUUGACAUCCCAAUACCAUAUUUUUGAAAUGAUGUGAUAAUGCCUUCUCAGCAGGGACAUUUUCAUAGAUAAAGAACUUGCUAAUUAGACGCCCCAUUCCCUCUUUCACAUUACCUCCAGUGAAAUAACUCCAAACACUCUUUUGACGUGCUUUGGAUGACUUAUAUAAACUUUGGGCUAUUGGUGGUGUUGGUUGUGAUUCUCUAACACUUGCUCCCCAUCUCAUUUGUGCACCACCACUUGUCUCGGAACCUUGUGCUCUAUUAGGAAUUUUAUGAAGGUGUUCUCUUUCCCAUGCUAACUGUUUGGAGGUACAUAAUGCUUGUUUCAAACGGCGUCGUUCUUCAAGUCUCAUGUCAUCAUCACAUUCAUCCUCAUCGUCAUCAUCAUCACUGUCAACCGCUUGGCCAAUGACUUCUCCUCGUAGCCCAGCUCGAAUAUUUUCCAUUCCAUGUGUUAUCUUUUCCUUCUGCUGUUUUUUAUUUUUUAAUAAUGUGGUGAUGAAUGCCUUCACUUCUGGGGGGGACACUAUCGCAUCGUUGGACAUUAUGUGCUAGAUCUAAUCCACUAAGAUGGUACUUAAGUCGUGUCACUCCGCCACUCUUCAUUACCCGACCACAAUAUUUGCAAAUUGUGCCAUGUUUGUUUCCGUCUAUUGGGUCUCCAUGUUCCCAAACUGGAUCACGUUUAGUAACUCCACUGGACAUCUUAAACGUACCUAUAUUUAUUUUUCAUGAAAAUUAGGCAAUUAUUUUUUUGCCAAAAAAUAUAGUGACGGAAACAUAUUAAAUAAGAAGUAAAGAAAAUAGGAAGUAAAGUUAUUCUAUAGAAGAAUUAAAUAGGAAGUCAAGAAAAUGAUUGUAAGAAUUUAAGUAAUUAUAAAAAUAAUAUGGAAUAAUAAACCUAAUAUUAAUGAAUAAUAAUCCAAUUUGAUAAUAAAAUAAUAAAUAACAUUAAACAUAUUAAAAUUAUUCUAGGGAAUAAUUAUACAACAUUACUUAAUUACUUCAAAAAAUGAACAUGCAAGUAUAAAUUACAAUAAUAUAAAUAUAAGUUCGCAAACUUGCCUUAAAUAUGAAACCUUUUGUGUUGAAGGUCUAGAAUGGAUCUGGAAUGGCUUUGAAAGGGGUAAGGGAAGAAAAAGAAACGAAAAGGUGUAAUAGAGGUUUUAAUUUUCGAAAGGUCAAAAAAUGUGUGAUGAUCUGAUACUCCACCUCUGAGAAUGUGAUAGAAUAACAUAGUGGCACACGGUUUUGAAUGGUCUGAAAUUGUAAAAGUUGUCCAUGGUCUGAUACUCCACCAUUAUUUUUGUCCAUGGUCUAAAAUUGUACAAGUUGUAAUUGUAAAAGUUGUCUGGGUUUUGAAUUAUUUAGAUGAUUUUGAAUAAAACCACCAUUAUUUUUGUCCAUGGUCAAAAAAUGUGUGAUCAUCUGAUACUCCACCUCUGAGAAUGUGAAAGAAUAUCACGUGUGGCACACGAUUUUGAAUCUUGAUGCAUGAAACCACCAUUAUUUUUGUCUUGUAAAAAAUUGUACAAUUCCUAAAAGCUGUAAAAGUUGAAUUAUUUAGAUGCUUUUCUUUUCUCACACCACCUACACACACACGCACACACAGAGAUCCACACACGCACAACACACGCACACAGAGACGUCAGUCGUCUCUAGAUCCUUCUCUCUUCUCCCUCUCCUUUUCCCACAAACACACACACAGAUCUCACAGAUCUCUCGAAGUCUCGAUCCUUCUCUCUUCUCCCUUCUCCCACACACACGCACAGAGACCUCAGUCUCUCGAUCCUUCUCCCACAUGGCCUUCUCCUCCUCCCUCGCCUUCCUCCUCAUCCGCGUCUUCCGCCUCGUCGGCGAACCCAAGAACUCUCCGGCGAGUUCUCUUGAUCCUUUUCUGGUUAGGUAAGCCCUCAAUUCAUCUUGCAUGUUAUGUGGUGUGGUUGAGAAUCGAGAUAUACUAAGUUUUAUCUGGUUUUUUUAACAAGGUUUUAGAAGGAGAUCGACCCGGGGGAAGGAACACCCAGCUCCAGCGAGGCCGUGAGGGUCGAGGAACUUUCCGAACACCUCCGACCGUUUCACGGCAAACGGAAGUUAUAAAAACAUUCCUCUCCUCUUGUAUUUCAUUUUUAUACUUAGAUCGGAGUCUAGGGUGCUCUUUUACAGUCGGUCGGAGCUAUAGAAGCUCCGGCGUUCUUCUCCGAUUGCACCAGUUCAAAAUUUCACGAUAUUAUCGGUUAUAUCGUGAUAUUAUCGAUAAUAUCGCGAUAAUUUGACGAAAAAUCAUUGGAUAAGUGUUAAAAUAUCCCUCUCUCACAAAACUGACAUUAUCGGCGAAAUAUCGUCGAUAAUAUCGGCAUUUCAAACACUGUUUAAGGCUAUGUAUGCUUAGGAGUGAUCAUGAUUGGUUAAUCUGCAUUAGGUGAUCAUUUCUUAACAGAUGUAGGAGUGACUCUGCUUGGUUAAUCCGCAUUGGGGGGUCACUACCUACUUGGUUACUUUCUUAAGGGUGGCGUUGCUUGGUUAAUCCGCUUUGGGGGGCCACUUCCUCUUUGGUUACUUAUGUAGGCUUCGGCCGAACUGGGUCCAUCUAGCCCUAGUUUUUAAUGUGCGUAUGAUCGAUGGUUUUUGAGAAUCUUGUGAUUUGAAUUAGAAAAACUGUUGGAUAUCUGGGUGACUCAUUCGGAGUUUCCAAUGACUUGAUGAUGAUUCCAUAAAGCAUGAUUCUAUACUGGAUGUUUAUAGAUUAUGAUCGAUGGUCUGUUUUAAUUGAAUAUCACAUACUUGUAUUAUUGUCACUCACUCUAGCUUCGUAGCUUACCCGAGUGUCUGAUUUGCCCAGUGUGUUAUCUCCAUGAUGUAGGCAUUGAUUUUACUUAUGACAGGUAUGGAUAGAUAACGAGAAGUAGCUUGGUAUUUCAGUUCCGUUGAGUGGUCUGGAAUCUUUGUUUUUGCUCAUUUUCAUAAGGUUAGUCUAGAACCCUAGAUUUUUAUGAAUGAGAAUUACCCCCAAUAGACCUUGUGAAUAUAAAUUAGAAGUACCAUGUGUAUUACUCAUAAUCCAAGUAGGGAAUUACAUAGAAUUUCUUAAUUAAAUUCGGGAAAUUAUAUGUUGUUUCAUUAAUUGAUUAAUAUAGUUAGAUAUUAAUAUCGUGCAUCUUGGAUUUAUGGAAUUGAUUAAUUGACGUGAUCGCGAAAUGACGUUGGGUAUGAUUGAGAUUAUUAUGAUUAGAUUAGUUGAUCAUUGUGACUUGAGAAUAAUAUUGUGCUUCGUUGGUUCUUUGAUAUGUUACAUACUAUGAAUUGAGGUAUUAUGUGAAACAAAGUGAUUUAUAUGAUAGAUAAAUUGGAAAGCAUCUGUGUGAGAAUGGCAUACCGGCGUGCAUGAUAAGGUGAUAUUUGUUGUUUGGAGUUAAGGUUGAUGUGUAGUGUGGUACUUUAUGAGUUCUGUUAGAAGUAUUUUACAAAAAGUUCCAGAGCUUGACGAAUAGUGAACUACGAAUGACUUAAUCCCUAUUGAGGGUACGUAGGCAAUCUAACGAGGAGGUUAGAUGCAGCCAUAAAGUAAGCGAAAAAUUACUUCGAAAUUUGAUUCUCGAGUUGUGAUUUGCCAUAUCCCGGAGGCGGGGUAUGUAAGAUAUACGAGUAUUUAGUGACGUCACGUAUCGAUCUUGAACAUAUAUCGGGAUCGGGAUCAUGGCGUGACAGGUUGUCUGUUUUAUAAUACGUAUUUGUGUAAUUUGGACCAUGAAGGAUUCCUUAAUGUGAAUGAGGAGCCAAAGAGGAUCCUGAAAUCCUUUAAUCGUGUCCAUUUAUCGUACAUCAUGCUAUCAGAAAUCAUUUUAAAUUUUUUCAUUUAAAAUUGAACACAAACAGUACCUGACGAAAACUAGCAGCACGAUGUACGAUGAACAGACACGACAAUGAAUCCCCGAAAUCCUCACCAAAAAGAUCCAGAGAGCAUCCUCAUUCCCUUAAUAUUAUCUGUUUGGCUGCUUAGAAAAUUUUUGAAUUCCAACGAUAGGUACUUAUUACAAGGAUGAAUAUAGCGCCUCCCAACGAAGAAGGUAAGGGCAGCAGCUCGGGAAGCUUCUUUCGUGCGUGCUUGGCUUCCUACUGAGUUCGAGUGAGGGUCUUUCACCUGAAAGUUCUUGCUCUUCCACUGGUUACCGGCUUAUGACCUGCGGGUAACUAAGGCUCUACCCUCUCUGCGGGAAGGUCAGUACGGAAGAAGGCUUGACAACGCCGGGGGCUUGGACAGAAAUGCUUACCAAUUCCUACGGGUGCAUAUUUAGUCCACCAACAAAACAAAAAUUACAGUAACAUUUCAAAUUUGGUAAGAGAGGAAAACAAAACUACAUUACUAUUCAACAAGAGAAAGACCCAGAACACUUUGAACAUAUGAGUUCUAACAUUUUAUCAAGUAUUUUGCCGAUGUGCUCAUAAAGCCUUCACUGAGGAUGAGCACCUUGAUCCAGACACCAAACUUCAGCUGCCACCAUAUUUUCUGAAAGACAGCCAUUCUGUGGACUUAAUUUGUCCUCUGUGGCAACCUUGACCGACACCAUAGGUGAAUUAGCAGUUACGUAAACUCCAAAAACUGAUAAAAUAGGUUGCUCAUCAUCAACGGCAAAGCAAGGGGCAAGAAAAGGUACAAGUUGCAUUAACUCCAUCCGCUAUCCGAGUCCUCUGAUUGUUCCUCCUCAAUUUCUUUUAUGCUCUGAACUGUAUCCGAAACUUUUUUUGACAUGUGCUCUGUGUGUUUUUCCAAAUCUUUCAAGAUCAUAUUUAGCUGUUCUUCAUAUGCAGCACAACGUCGCUUACAUUUUUGCCUCUCGUUGUACAGCUCAAGGGACAGCUCUCGGAUUCUUUUAUCCUUCUCAUCCUGAAAAUUAGGAGCAAUGAUUAAGAGUAAUUUAAGAUGCUAUUAGGUCACUACAUCAUUGUUUUUCAUUAAACAUGUCACUACAUCAUGGGAAAAUUUAAGAUGCUAAACCAGGGAUCUUAGAAAUUAAUAGGCGCAAUGAUUAAGAGUAAUUUUUUUUAAUCUGUGUUAUACUAGCAACAAUUAUGGGUGCUUUAGUUUUUGCUAUGUCAAUAAUAUGUCUGUUAAGUCUCCUGGAAUAUCCGUCCACGUAGAAAAGUGGGUAUUCACAAACAGACCAUAACUAGGCAGUUGGUUGAUCGACACAGGUAUAGAUGAGUUUCUGUUAACCUAGUUGGAAUUAACAUAGGAGGACUUAAGUUGGAGAAGUCAAUAUGUAAAGAUAAAUGAAUCCUUUUGCAUGUCUACUAAACAACAGCUUCAUAUAAAGAGCAAGGAAUGUUUAGCUUCAACUUAACGGCUAAUGCAAGAUGAUUCCAGGCCUGGACAAGUGCCUGGUAACAAUACGCACAGCUCUUCCACAGUUGAAGGCAUGGAUUAGCAUGUUAACCAUUCUGAUCGACAAAGUUUUGUUGCUUUACCAACAACCCCAAAGUUUAAGCUAUUAGCAUGUCAAUUAACAAUUCUUUUAAAAUCCAGCACUUCCCUUUGUGCGUGGGUCUCUCCUCACUAGUUUUGUUCGAUGACCACUACUUUCCCAAAGCUUAAACUAUUAGGACAUCGAUUAACAAUCAUUUUAUAAUCUAAAAGCAAAUCCGUGAUCCUUUUUUAAUUAUUUGGUAAUCUGUUUAGUUUUCUUCAACAUUAUCAUUGAACACAGUAUUUAGUACCAGUGAGUUGGUGACAAAUCUUCUUAUGCAAACAUUUCAUUCAGUAUUAUGCUAAAAAAAAUACUCCCCAACAUACCUCACUUGCUAAGUGCUUUCCUGAUCCCCGCCAUGGAACCUUGCUGGGACUCAUUAGUUUGUGAUUAUGCUCUUUAACAAAUUUUGUGACUACCCACUUCGGUCCAUCUCUUAGAGCUAGCCUUAUCAUAGCUUGACAGCCCUCACGGGUUACUGGGGGUGGAGGAAGAACUCUGUCUUUUCUGUGCACAUACUUUUUUGCUCGAAAGCCUUCUUUUGAGCAAACAAAAUCUUGACCAAUAAUCUGAUUAUUUACUCGUGAACGACGAUUGUGGUGUAUCCGUACGGUGAAACCGGAGCGUCUGCCAUAUGCAACAUAAAAUUCUCUAGCUUCAUCUCUUGAGUUGAACUCCAUGCCUAUAUACGGUUCUAAAGCUUCUACGUUCAUAGGUAGAUCAGCUGAUUGUUCUUCUGUCUCCUCUUUUUCAUCUACACACAAGUCCAAAUUCUCAGGAAGCACACCUUGUAUCCCUUCAUUAUGUUCAUAGGUUUCAGCAUGCACAUCUAGGUCACUCUCAUCUGAAUCAAAUCCAUGAUUAGAUUCGUGAUCCAUUACGUUCCUACAAGAAGAAACAACAAAAUUGACUAAUCAUUUUCCCAAAAAUAGGACACAUAAACAACGACAAAAUAGUAGGUCAACUUCUACUACAAGUGAUUUGCUUGACAGCAGAAUUUUUAGUUUCAAAAACCUAUGUAUUGUCAACACUGCACUUGUCUAUGCCCCAUUACUGUUUCUUAGAAAGAAUAGAGUCUGAGGGAGAAGAAAAGCAUAAGAAUCGAGGGUUUACAGGGUUUACAAAAGCAAUACUUAAAUGACUUAAGUUAUACUUUACAUAUUGCAAAACAUAAAUAAAUAAAUGCAAACACAAGCACUAAUAAAUAACUGGAACGCCAAUAACACAGUAAUGACAUGUAACAGAAGAAAAGUGACCCAUUACAGUAGGAGCCAUUGUAAUUAUCCUCAAAGUUUCAUAUUCAUCAUAAACAACAAAGGUUUUCACAUGUAUGGUUAUGUAUACCAUACGGACCAUUAAGCUUUGUGAUAAUAGGACCUAAAAUAAAGCUGAAGAACGGUCUUCAAAACAUGAAGUACACAAGACUUAGUCAAGAUAAUGUUCUAAGCAUCGAAAGAGGAGAACCGUUUCCAGGUAUUGGAUUGCCCAAUAUGCGUGACUCAACCUUUGUUCACUGUGUUAAGACAGCUAUAUUCUGUACAAGCAAUGGAAGUUUCAUAACUAAGAGCACUCAAAUGUGACAUGAAUCUCUCUUCAGAUUCCAGAUUCCUUCCGAUGAUGGGUGAUUCGGAUAAAAUAAGAUUGAUAAACUAGGAGAAGGUUUCUCACAAAAAAUAAACUAAGAGCAGGUUUAUCGUUGCAUGAGACAAAGACUAUAGAGUAACUUAAAGCACAAUAAUUUUUCAAGCACAACAUAGAGGACAAUGUACCUUCAAGAGGGAAGUUUCUCAAUAGGGCAUUUAAAAGAGAAGCCCUUGAUUGCAGAGAAAGCAAGAAACUUAGGAAUAAGGCCGUUGGCGUGCAACUUUGACCAACCUAAUUUUCAAAUUAAUAAAUUGCAUCUCUUGAAAGAGGCACUCUUUUUCCCAUUGCACCAGUUUUCGAGUCUUUCUAAUGUUUGGUUACCUAUCACUUCACAAAAUUUAUAGUAUAAUGGCAGUCUAUCCCCCACAAAAAAUGUAGUUAGACUUAGAGUUCAAUUACACAAUUCCGCAGACGGUUAGUACGAAAGUAGUCAGCCUUAUAAAGACAGACAAGAACCUUACAGACCCAAAGGGCAUUUUGCAAAUCAUUUUCUUACAUUAAAUUCGAAUGCUGAAUGUCCAAACAAAAAAAUUAGAAAACAUAGGAUAGUCUUAAUAACAAUCCAAUUGUCGAAACAAAUAACAUGAGCCAUUAUAUCUCUUGGUACGGUAAAGAUUAAAACACAUUUUGAACUAACAGUCCAACAUUGGUUUCUUAAUUUAACUAUUUAUGUAAGCUCAGCAUCAUGAUUUCACCUAAAAACAGUCAAAGUUGAUAAAUACACACACAGAAAUCAUAGUUUUUCACCAAAGUUGCGAAAUUUUACGAAGAAUGCGGCCAGUUUGUGGUUAAACAAUCAUCAAAUUUGCUUCAAAUCAGCAUCUAAACAUAAUUAAAAAAAAAAAACCUGAGCCCUGGAGUUAUAAAUACGAAAAGCAUCAAUUACAACAGUUAAUCAUAAGAAACUUAGCAAGGGAAAGCAAAGAAGAAAGAAUAAACAGGGUUUGGUUUUAACUCACAGUCGCCAAUGACGAAAGGUUUGAAGAAAGCGGAAGUCCUAAAACGAUCUGCGCAUGGCAGCUCCACGAGCCCAAGUGGUAAAUUCUGCGGGGUUCGCUGGUAGUGGUGGGUCCCGCAGGAGAUGGAGAGCGUUGGAAGGGCGGAACACGGUAACAGAAAGACCAGCCCGAGGACUCCGGACUCGGAGGCGGAGCUAGUCUCAGUUGCUGGGGAUGUACAGGAAGAUGCUUUUCGACUAGGAACCGAGGGAAGUUUUCACACCAAAACAAGUAGCCUACAUUCUGUUUAAGUGCGACCAACAAAAACAAAAUUUCUGCGUUUACACGCGCUAUAUACCCUUUCACAAUAUUUUUUGUUAAAUUAUUAAAUCUGGUGUAACAAACGCACUUUUAAAAGUAAUUGCAAAAAUAACACUCAUUCUAUACGUGUCACGUGAAUUCAUCAAUGGCAUAAAUAAACUGGUGGCUCAGUGGUAAAUGGCAAAUUACGAAACUUCUUUAAAACUUAAAACUGAAGAUCUCGAGUUCGAAACCCGAUGAUGGUGUGAAAACCAAACUUGUGACCAUAAGGAAGCUGAAAUGGCUCUGUGAGUCUUCCUGACCUCCGAAAAGAGUAGAUAACCGUGGAUUACCAUCAGUUAUCUCCCUAUUUUAAAAUUAAAAAAAUAUAUAUAUAUCAAUCCAUAAGGAAUAAAUAUUCCAAUUCAGUUGAUUCACGAACGUCAUAUCCCAAGAUUAGAGCGUCGCGAAAGGUUGGUUUAAAACAGGCAAGACUCACGGGCCAAACAAAUAGCAGAUCCAGGGGUAAUGUUACCCUAAAAAUACUGAAAAUGAGAAGAAUCUCUCGAUUCAUAUAUUCCUUAGGUCUAGUGUCUAAAGCUUGUCAUAAAUAAUGAGCCUCCUUUGUUGCGGCCCAAACGGCAGCUCUGCUCAGAAGCCCUACUUUGUCAUGUCCCCAUCACAAUCUCUUGUAUAUUUACACUUGAAAGAUAGAAGAUUCAGAAGCAUCCUAUUUCCUACUUUCCUCAGUCUGGAGUUUCUGAUUCGACAUUCGAGAAAUACAAUUAAGGCCCUCCUAGAAACGAAAUCAUACUCACACAACUGUUUUAGCUUCAAGCUCUUUUAGCUUGUUAGAAACCGAUUGAACUUUUGUUGAAAGGUGCGCGUUGUGGUCUUCAAUAUCCUUGAUAAAGGCAAGUAGCUGAUCUCUAUACGCUGCACUUAACCGCUUCUUAACUCGUAGCUCUGCAGAUAACUCCUGGAUUUUCUUAUCUUUCUCAUCCUGGAAACAUAUGCAAAACGAUGAUCAAUGAACUCUGGGGGAAACGAGUGGGUACAGUGUGUGCUGUGUUAAUCUCGAGAGGGAACACAGCCAAGAAAGAAAAGGAAACCGCAUAUGGAAACAAAAGAUAUCUCCCAAAACCCAACAGAUUUAUAAAAUCCCCAAUGGCAAUAGAGCACUAUACAUUGGACGAUUCAAAAGUACAAACUUUCACAAAACACAAGUUCUGAAGCAUCUGAAAGGAAGAAACCAUGAGUACAAUGAUAAUCAAAAGGCUCACGAGUUGAAUAUUUUGUGAGAGCAUCAAUGUGGUAUAAGAGAUUUUAAGGCCAUAAACACAUGCAAAAACAAGCUGUGUUCAAAACGGAAAAGGAAUAAUUAAAACACAUUCAGGAAUAACAAAUUAAGGUGUUAAAUUUCCAAGCUAAGCUCAUCCUAGAAAUUUUCAAUGUUACGUACAGGAUUACACUUUACAUACGAAGAAAAAUAAGUCUUGAAUCCAAUGCGGUCAGGGACUCAGGAAGGCUUCAGAACAUAUUAAGAUUAUCUGUAAUUUUCCUUUUCAACAUUUAGAAGUAUGCUCUCCAUAUUAAAGUGGAAAUGUAAGGAGUCAAUUUAAUCCUUAAAAGGAAAAAAGUUCAUUAAACUGAUACAUCAAAUAGUUCUAGAUAAGCUGACAUUAUCAAAUAAAGGAAGGUAGUUUGAUAGCAAGAACGAGGGAACAAAGAAAUACGGUAGCCUUCAACUUUAACUUUCACGUCUUUCUUCCUUUUUCAUUUAAUAUAAGUUACAAGCUAUAUUGCACCGAUACUUCAAAUUUGGACAAGGGUGAGUAUCGGAUACCUACACCCCCAUGAUACCCUCCGAUAUUUCUUGGAUACGGUCAAGAUACUCCUAAGAUAUUGAACUAGGAAUUUGGGUGGUUGUAGUUUCUAAACUCCGUUGUUCUUGUGGGUUUAGUAGGAUAGACAAGGUAUGUGGUUUCGGAAUCUCCAGAGUUUAGGGAAUAAUCCCUCUGUGUUAUAUGGUUGUACUUAAUUUUUCGAGAAGGUAUGUGGAUAUUCCCUGUGUUAUAUUGUUAUACUUAAAAGAACAUAAUGUUUCCGCUUCUUAAUAUGCUUUUGAAAUUCUAGGAUUAAUAUAAUUAUACUUUCAUGGGUAUCGUGAUAAGUUGAUUUUUGUUUUUUUAAGUAUUGCAUAUGUCAGAUUUGGUUUAGAAACAAAGAAAAUAUAUUUUUUAGUUUAGCUCACAGGUUUGGUUACUGUUGAGUUAUUUGACAUGAUUAAUUAAAGGAAAACUAAUGAAAAGUCCAAAAAAACUUCUUUUUUAGAAAAAGCCCUUUUCAAAGGUAUAGUGAAUAGUGCCAUUGCCAGUUAAAGGUAAAAAUAUGGUUUUUCGUUAAAAGUUAACAGUAGGGUUCACUCGUAUCUAUAAAAACACAACUCAUUAACAGAAAUUGUCCUGCUCAUGAGAAAAUAUGCAAAGCAAGAGAAGCUUACAAGCGUUCUGCGGAUCUUUGGUGAUUGAAUCACUAACAGAUGAUUAUGGUCCCCCAAAAAUUUCUUGAUAACCCAUCUUCCAGGCAUCUCUUGUUUCAACAAGACCAUGGCUGGACAAACUUCUCCUUCUCCACACUCCUUCUGCAUUACUUUUCUACGAUUCUCAGAGACCCCUCUGCAUCCAAGUCCACGAGAGAUUAUUGACCCAUCACGCUCAGACUUCCGGGAUGACAAACACGGGUCACAAAUCCAACACGCCUGGCAUAAUCAUCAUAGAAUACUUUGGCAGCUUCUUCUGAUUCAAAAAGCAUACCCUCAUAUGGUUCUUGACAUGGGCCAACUUCAAUAUUAUUUGAUUCCCCUCCUGCAGAAGUUUCGACUGUCCCAUUCAAAUCAUCCAUUUGCACCUCCACUGUAGCACAACGUAUCAAGUUAUAAAAUGCACUAAGCCAAACAUGCUAUUAAGCAGACCGUUUAGUUCUGCAUAUGGAUACACGAACUUGAGAUUUGAAAGGGAAAUGAUUAAAUGACCAAAUCAUAUAAAUUCCACUCAAAGAAAGCUUAAGAUUUAGGAAUGUGGUAAUGUAAGAUUAAGACAUAAAAUCUUAAAAAACAAUCCAGCAUUGGUAUAGAUUUUAAUGCGUAUUAUCAAUGAUAGGUGUGUUUUGAGAGGUGGUCUACUCACAAAAUCCUUGAUGCAAAACACCUACAGUUCGGCCACACUAGUCCGUUUAAGAAAUUUGCAUCUGCCACUCAGCCCUAUGGCCCCUAACUAAACCCUAUAUGCGCUAACAUAUAGCAAAUGAUAUCCUUCAAUGCUACGCGUGUUCUAAGCAACAUCAAUAUGUUACAACCAAUUAACAAAUACAACAUCGCACACUGAGAAAAGACUAUCAAACCUCACCAUCCUCUAUUUGACAAUGCUAUAUACGGAGGGCAAUGGUAUGAAAUCUCAAACAGACAUGGUGGAACAAAUGUGCGAGAUGCAAUUAAUAGGAUGUACAUGCUUUGCCGAGCACACACAAAACAAAAGAUUAUAAUAACACUAAUACACGAAAGCUAAGCUAUAUCUCCAUCGACUCUCAAGCUUAUUUAAAAUCUCAGAAAUAAGAACACCAGCGCACUCAAGACUUCACCGGUUCCUUUUAGUUUACAGUGCAAAUAAAUCGUAUUUGUAUCUAAGAAAUCUUUUGAAGAAAUUCCAUGUCAUUUCGCGUUUCAAUAAUCUUCACGAAAGGCAUGAAAAUGUGGCCAAACAUCCACACCCUUAAUUUCUCUUCUCAUUAUUCUCUUCUCCCACAAAUUUCGAUUACCAAUUACAAAUACAGGAAAAGUAGUGUGCCCACAAACAAAUAGGAACUUGAAUGAGCUCAACAAGUAGAAUUGCACACAAAACAAAGUCAAUCAAUCAGAGGGUAUCAAUAUCAUCAAUGGCGGAUACACAGAGCGUUUAAUAACAGCAGAAAAAACCACAACAAGAAGAAAGAAAGGUCGUAUCUUUUACUGUAAAAUAUAAAACAGAGAAACGGAGAGAUGGGUUGGACUUACUUGAACCCCAACAGGAUUUGGAUUUGGAUUUGGAGUCCGGUGGAGGUGGUGGUCGGAGAGAAGAAACGGCGAGCUUAGAUUUUGAAAGAGGGGAAAAAAGAUGCCUCCGAGUUUUCACUUUUUCAGACUGUUUGAGCGUCAAGUGUUAGUGUAAGAAGAACCGCACGCGUGGUUAAUCAUCGGAAUAUACAUUUAAAAAGGAUUUUGAGUUAAAAUGCGUAACUCUUCACUUUAGUUUCUUGACAAUAAAAAUCGGUACAUGUAGUUCUUAAUUUUUUUCACCGUAAAUCAUUUUGGUACGUUAGUGAAAUAUUUGUUAACAUCCUUAUUAAAAUGUCACGUUGACGACUACGUGACCAUUUUUUUAAGGAAAUUUUUGUUAAACCAACUCCUUCACUUAACAAAAAUAUUGAGAGAUUUUUCACGAAAAUACCAAAAUAGUUUACAAUGGACAUACUCAUGAUCCACUCCUAUCGAUUUACUAUUGUCAUGACUAAAAUGAAGAUUUAUGUUAAUUCAGUUACUAUUUUGACCAAAAAGCCAAAAAACAAACAUACAACCAAAUUAUAUUUUUUUCUUGGAAGAAGAAAAAAGGUGUUGUAAUUCGCUGUUCAAAAAUAUCAUCUCACUCUCUCAAUACAAUUUUUUCUGGAACAAAUGUUGAGUGUAAAUUAAUAUUUUGGAGGGCGUUUCACAUUUUUAAGUAUAUGUGGUAUUAUAUAUAACAAUCAGACAGUCUGAGUUUGAUACCUAUAACAUUAUUAUUAAAUUAACGUGACUUAAAUUAUUAUUAAAUUAACGUGAGUUCAAUAUAUUGAUAGCACACUUAUUUUUUCUGGCCUGCAUCUUCGUAACAACUCAUAAAAUUUGCAAUAAUAUAUACCUUCGUUCUUAUAAAUGGCACGUGAUCGGUUCGGAAUAUCAUUUUGGCAUUGUUUGGGUGAAGAAUGUGCAAGUCCCGAACGAUUGAGAUCUAGUUAAUAGGGAACGAAAGAAGUACAAAAUGUUAAAUAGAAAUGCAUUUCAUGCUAGGUGUGUUCAAAGAACUCUCACGCUCGAAAACCAGAAAAGUUCAAGCGAGGAAGCUUCAACCGCUGGCAGCAAAAGAUGUUCGACGGAGUACAGAAAAGCGUGAUGGCAACAGCAUACGAGAAGUAAAAAUCUACCUUCUAGGCUUCUAGUAUCGAAAUUAUGUACAAGCGGAUUCGGUUUCCACAACUCUAAAAUGCUACCAAAUUCCUUUAAAAUGGACACAAACUAUUUCUCUGUCUAGACUUUGGGACGCCGAUGCCCAAUAUAACCGCAGUUAGCCACCCGUUACGCCUCUCGGAUAUUAUCUUGCACCAUUCAAAAUAUGCACUUGGACCGUGGCAAUGCUUUCAAGUUGCUGCACAAAAACGAGUAAAUUUAAGCGCGAUUGCAGCUCAUGAACUGGUCACCGUUUUAAGCAGCUCCAUCAGUGCUUGCACGUCUGCGCAGUCACGGACAAAUUGGAUUUGCUCGCAUGGCUGCAGCCUGCACUGAAAUGAAGAAAAAAGUUGCAUAAAGACAUGAGCUAUUCACUCUACUUUUCUUCUUACCGUAAAUGCACUGAAAUUCAUCUUACUGAAUGCAAUUGAAAUAGAUAAAUACUUGUAUUAGCAUUCGUAAGCAAUUGUAACUUUGCAAUAAACUUGAAAAAUCUGUUUAUGAUUGGCAUGAUAGAUCUCGAUCAAUGUCUGAAAUCAUAUUAAAAAUAUGAGCCUCCUCGUAUCUAAUGAAUAAAACAACUCGAAAGUCUAAUAUAAGAGUAAUAAGAGGAAAGGAAUUGAAAAGAAACAAAAAGGAAAAUGAACACAAUAGGAAUAGUGUUAUUUAAGUUAGAAACAAAAUGAAAGAUCUGUGCAGAGAGAGAUGCCAAUAAAGAUGCGAAUAACUCCACGUUACAGCCAAAGCUGUAAAAGUUGGAAAUUAAGAACCUAAUCAACAAGUAUUUAAGCAUGCCAAUCAAAUAUUCAAAACGACGACGACAACGACGACAACAACAACAAUAACAAAGCCUUUUCCCACUAAGUGGGGUCGGCUAUAUGAAUCCUAGAACGCCAUUGCGCUCGGUUUUGUGUCAUGUCCUCCGUUAGAUCCAAGUACUCAAGUCUUUUCUUAGGGUCUCUUCCAAAGUUUUCCUAGGUCUUCCUCUACCCCUUCGGCCCUGCACUUCUGUCCCGUAGUCACAUUUUCGAACCGGAGCGUCAGUAGGCCUUCUUUGCACAUGUCCAAACCACCGGAACCGAUUUUCUCUCAUAUUUCCUUCAAUUUUGGCUACUCCUACUUUACCUCGGAUAUCCUCAUUCCCAAUCUUAUCCUAUCUCGUGUGCCCAUACAUCCCACAAAGCAUCCUCAUCUCCGCUACACCCAUUUUGUGUACGUGUUGAUGCUUCACCGCCCAACAUUUUGUGCCAUACAACAUCGCUGGCCUUAUUGCCGUCCUAUAAAAUUUUCCCUUGAGCUUCAGUGGCCUACGACGGUCACACAACACGCCGGAUACACUCUUACACUUCAUCCAUCCAGCUUGUAUUCUAUGGUUGAGAUCUCCAUCUAAUUCUCCGUUCUCUUGCAAGAUAGAUCCUAGGUAGCGAAAACGGUCACUUUUUGUGAUCUUCGCUAGAUUGCUCCGGUCAUUAGUGUGGAUAAGUAUAUAAAUGGAUAGAGAUAGGAAAGCAAACACAAGAUGUACGUGGUUCACCCAGAUUGGCUACGUCCACGGAAUAGAGGAGUUCUCAUUAAUUGUGAAGGGUUUACACAAGUACAUAGGUUCAAGCUCUCCUUUAGGGAGUACAAGUGAAUGAUUUAGUACAAAUGACAUUAGGAAAUAUUGUGGGAGAAUGAUCUCGUAACCAUGAAACUUCUAAGUACCGGAGUGUGGUAUCGUCUUGACUUUCCUUAUCUGUCUCAUAGGUAGAUGUGGAAUCUUCUCUGGAAGUACUCUUCCUCCAUCCAGGGGUGGUAUCUGUAACUGGUGGAGAUGCACAAGGUAAUGUAUCAAUGUCACUUGAAGCUUACUUGUAGUUUCAGGCUUGGUCAAGCGCGAUACAAACCAUGUAGUAGGAGUCCCCCAAGUCGCCGAGCUAGGGGAUUUGCUGAAAGAGGUAACAGACAAGGUAAGCAAUCAGAGCUCCGGCUGAUUGUUCACAUUCUCCCUAUCUUGCAGGCAGCAUGAAGGAUAAAGAGAAGAAAAAUGAGAAGAGAUGAUAUGGGAUACUUUUGCUUUUGAAGAAGUAACUUUCCACAUGCUUAUUCUUGAACUGGGCUGGAGGGUUUUCUGGUUUCCUCCAGAGUAUAAGGCCGACUGAAGAAUUUGAGGGUCAAAACAAGUCCAUCAAAUCUAGAGUACGUUCCACCCUGCUGAUAUGGGAUACUUUUGCUUUUGACAGAGUAGUGGAUGUAUCGGCACGUGUGCUGUUACGCUUGUCUCCACAUGCUUCCUUGUAUCCUUCUCACUUGCCCUAUCUGUUCCUCAAGCAGAUGCGAUAUCUUCCCUGGAAGCAUAAGAUGUUGAAGAUGAGUACUCGAGAGCAAUGCCAGGUAAGUAAUCAGGUAAGGGGUUCCAGGCAGUCAGUUCCUGGCUGGAAGCUUGAUUCCAAGUGCUGACUGAUUGCUCUCUUUCUCCUUGUCUUGCAGGUAAGAACAAGGCCAAAGGAAAAGACAGGGAAAAAGCAUGAUAUGGGAUACUCUUGCUUUUAACCCUGAUGAUAUGAGAUAUUCUUGCUCUAGUAUAACUUGUUUACAGAGGUAUUAUCGGGGGGAAAGAAAGCUGAAUAUUUCGAAAGGCUUCGUUGGGAGUGCCCUCUCAGAUAAGAGGAAGGGUUGAGCAUUUUUGCAGGUCUGCCUGUCCGUUGGGGAUGGAGGUCGACAUAUAUAGGAGUCUCCCUAACAUCAAGUAAUAAUGUUAUUCCUUUACCCUGCUUGGUCAUAGCACGGUAGUGGGAGCUGCCAGCUUCACAAGUUUUAACUCUGUCAGAGCACUUUGAAAAAGUGGUCUGUGGUAUCUGGAAAGCUGAUGUUGCGUGUGAAGAUUACAGACAAGCUUUAUCCAAGGAGAUCCGGCUCUUGAAGUUGGGAAAGUGGUGCCUCUUCGGUUUUUGAACAAGCAAUCCUGUCGGGGAUCUGGCUCUCAAGAUUCGGAGAACGAUGCCUCUUCGAUUUUUGAGAAAGCAAUCCUGCUGGGGGUCUGGCUUUCGAGAUUCGGAGAGCGAUGUCUUCGAUUUUUGAGAAAGUAAUCAUGUUGGGAGUCUCGAGAUUCGGAGAGGUCGCACUUGGUGCGAUGGCAAGUGCCUUCGCCCAUGAGCGGUAGGUCUCGGGUUCGAGACUUGGGAGCAGCCUCUCCAUAAAUGGGGGUAAGGCUAGCCGACAUUCACCUCCCAGACCCUGCGUAAAGCGGGAGCCUUGUGCACUGGGUACGACCUUUUAAUAAUGUUAGAAGUCUGGCUCUCGAGAUUCGGAGGGCGGUGCCUCUUCGAUUUUGGAGCAAGCAAUCUUGUUGGGAGUGUUUUCUCGAAUAUGAGUAAAGGUUGGGCAUGUUUGCUAGUCUACCUUGCCACGAAGCACAGAGGUUGACACACAGGGACUUUCCAAUUAUCCAGCAGUGGUACUCUUCCUUUACCCUCUCUUCGAUUUUUGAGAAAGUAAUCAUGUUAGGAGUCUGGCUCUCGAGAUUCGGAGGGCGGUGCCUCUUCGAUUUUGGAGCAAGCAAUCUUAUUGGGGGUGUUUUCUCGAAUGUUGUAAAGGUUGAGCAUGUUUGCUAGUCUACCUUGCCACGAAGCACAGAGGUUGACACACAAGGACUUUCAAAUUAUCCAGCAGUGGUACUGUUCCUUUACCCUCUCUUCGAUUUUUGAGAAAGUAAUCAUGUUGGGAGUCUGGCUCUCAAGAUUCGGAGGGCGAUGCCUCUUUGAUUUUGGGGCAAGCAAUCUUGUUGGGAGUGUUUUCUCGAAUGUGAGUAAAGGUUGUGCAUGUUUGCUAGUCUACCUUGCCACGAAGCACAGAGGUUGACACACCGGGACUUUCCAAUUAUCCAGCAGUGGUACUGUUCCUUUACCCUUGUGGGUAAUAAUAUGGUAGCUAGGCCUUCAAAAUUUAUGUGUCUAAACUUUGUUAGUGUUGUUUCUUUGCUAUUCUUUUACCCUUCUUGGUCAGAGCGAUGUAGUGAGAGUUGCAAGCUUCACGUGUCUCAACUUUGUCAGAGAACUUUGGCAAAGUUAUAUGUGGUACCCAUGAGCUACUGUUGCGUGUGGGAAGUGGGUGAUUGAACAGUACGAUUCAUGUGCUUUCUACUUCGCCAGAAAUCUUCGACAGAAUGCCCAUAAUUUCCGCAAAGCUGAGUGUGCGUGUGACAGGUGCUGACAAGGCUGGAAAAGUAGUCUCAACUUUGUCAGAGAACUUUGGCAAAGUUAUAUGUGGUACCCAUGAGCUACUGUUGCGUGUGGGAAGUGGGUGAUUGAACAGUACGAUUCAUGUGCUUUCUACAUCGCCAGAAAUCUUCGACAGAAUGCCCAUAAUUUCCGCAAAGCUGAGUGUGCGUGUGACAGGUGCUGACAAGGCUGGAAAAGUAGGUGUCUCUUCGAUUUCUGAGAUCGGCCCUCGUGGUCUCUGAGCAGCCCAGCUUUUGAGAAAGCAAACCUCUUCGAUUUCUAAUAUCGGCCUUCGUGGUCUUUGAGCAGCCCAGCUUUUGAGAAAGCAAACGCCUCUUCGAUUUCUGAGAUCGACCCUCGUGGUCUCUGAGCAGCCCAGCUUUUGAGAAAGCAAACGCCUCUUCGAUUUCUGAAGCUUCGUCGAGUGCAGAUUUUUAUAGAGGCUGACAUUAAGUUCCAAAGCACACUUGAAUAUCCACUAGUAGAAGCUCCAUUCUUGCACUUCUAAGAUCUUGAUUUGUCCGACCUUUUCUCUCUUCUACACCUUUGAAAAUGUCUGGCCCCUCCGACCAUCGUUUUGACUUGAACCUUGUUGAAGAGGCAGCCCCGCCUUCUCCAGACAACAUAUGGCGCCCAUCCUUCGUCUCCCCUACUGGUCCUCUUACCGUUGGGGAUUCCGUGAUGAAGAAUGAUAUGACCGCUGCGGUAGUGGCCAGGAACCUUCUCAGUCCCAAAGAUAACAGACUACUUUCCAAACGGUCUGAUGAGUUGGCUGUUAAGGAUUCUCUGGCUCUUAGUGUUCAGUGUGCAGGUUCUGUCUAAUAUGGCCCAACGCCUAUUUGCUCGAACCCGCCAAGUUGAAUCAUUGGCGGCUGAAGUGAUGAGUCUCAAACAGGAGAUUAGAGGGCUCAAGCAUGAGAAUAAACAGUUGCACCGGCUCGCACAUGACUAUGCUACAAACAUGAAGAGGAAGCUUGACCAGAUGAAGGAAUCUGAUGGUCAGGUUUUACUUGAUCAUCAGAGAUUUGUGGGUUUGUUCCAAAGGCAUUUAUUGCCUUCGUCUUCUGGGGCUGUACCGCGUAAUGAAGCUCCAAAUGAUCAACCUCUGAUGCCUCAUCCUUCUAUGGUUCUGUCCAGUACUGAGGCUCCGAAUGAUCCCCCUCCGGUGCCUUCUCUUUCUGGGGCUCUACCGACUGCCGAGACUUCUCCUAAGCAACCUUUGUGAAGGCUCCCUCUUGUUUGUUUAUUUUGACUCAAGUAUAUGUACAUAUUUGUAAUUUAUCGGGGAUAUCAAUAAAUAAGUUUUCCUUCAUUUCAACGUAUUGUGUUAAAUCACCAAAGCCUUCUUCGCUAAGUUCUUUGAAUUUUCUUUUGUUGAAGCUUGUAUGUUGGAGCUUUGUGAGUGGAGCAUGUAGGUUGAGGUAGUGUUCCCUUAAUUUCCCGAGCGAGGACAACUUCUCGGUUGGAGACUUGGAAAAUCCAAGUCACUGAGUGGGAUCGGCUAUAUGAAUCUUAGAACGCCAUUGUGUUCUGUCCUGUGUCAUGUCAUCCGUUAGAUCCAAGUACUCUAAGUCUUUUCUUAGGGUCUCUCUCAAAGUUUUCCUGGGUCUUCCUCUACCCCUUCGGCCCUGAACCUCUGUCCCAUACUCGCAUCUUCUAAUCGGAGCGUCAGUAGGCCUUCUUUGCACAUGUCCAAACCACCGUAACCGAUUUUCUCUCAUCUUUCCUUCAAUUUCGGCUACUCCUACUUUACCCCGGAUAUCCUCAUUCCUAAUCUUAUCCUUUCUCGUGUGCCCACACAUCCAACGAAGCAUCCUCAUCUCCGCUACACCCAUUUUGUGUACGUGUUGAUGCUUCACCGCCCAACAUUCUGUGCCAUACAGCAUCGCCGGCCCUUAUUGCCGUCCUGUAAAAUUUUCCCUUGAGCUUCAGUGGCAUACGGCGGGUCACACAACACGCCGGAUGCACUCUUCCACUUCAUCCAUCCAGCUUGUAUUCUAUGGUUGAGAUCUCCAUCUAAUUCUCCGUUCUUUUGCAAGAUAGAUCCUAGGUAACGAAAACGAUCGUUCUUUGGUAUUUCUUGAUCUCCGAUCCUCACCCCUAACUCGUUUUGGCCUCCAUUUGCACUGAACUUGCACUCCAUAUAUUCUGUCUUUGAUCGGCUUAGGCGAAGACCUUUAGAUUCCAACACUUCUCUCCAAAGGUUAAGCUUUGCAUUUACCCCUUCCUGAGUUUCAUCUAUCAACACUAUAUCGUCUGCGAAAAACAUACACCAAGGAAUAUCAUCUUGAAUAUGUCCUAUUAACUCAUCCAUUACCAACGCAAAAAGGUAAGGACUUAAGGAUGAGCCUUGAUGUAAUCCUACAGUUAUGGGAAAACUUUCGGUUUGUCCUUCAUGAGUUCUUACGGCAGUCUUUGCUCCUUCAUACAUAUCCUGUAUAGCUUGGAUAUAUGCUACUCGUACUCAUUUCUUCUCUAAAAUCCUCCAAAGAACGUCUCUUGGGACCCUAUCAUACGCUUUUUCCAAAUCUAUAAAGACCAUGUGUAAAUCCUUUUUCCCAUCUCUAUAUCUUUCCAUCAAUCUUCGUAAGAGAUAGAUUGCCUCCAUGGUUGAGCGCCCUGGCAUGCGCGAUUUCGUUCUGGAUUCAUUUUCAUAAGGAUUCGACGUGAUCAUGGAGUGCCGGCUGUCGACUACCUGACGCCCUCCCCCUCCUCCUUUAUCCGGGCUUGGGACCGGCAAUGUAAGAUAAACUUACACGGCGGAGUUAAAUAUUCAAAACGACAACACACAAAAAAUAGGUAGGACUACAUCAAUGUAAUUACUGUUUAAAAUUUUUAUGUUAAGCUUAACCUAUUUGCUGAAACCGAUAUGCCCUUGGAAUUGAAUGAAUGUUCCUAAUCUGUAUCCAACUGAUGUUUUGGGGUAGUUUGACUUUUGGAUACCGUUAAGAACCCGUGUGUAGAACUUGGCCCUACAAAACUGGCUUGUAAGUUCUACCAAUGCGGGAUAACGGUCCUGACUCCUGACAGAAACGGCCCGAAUAUGCAAGUGUAUUGAAAGUAAUACUUGGCUAAUCUGCAACUUUUAGAAAAGGAAAACCAGGUAUGUGAGGGUACAUUCUAAAUAUACUGAAACUUUUUUCUUUUCCAAAACAAAGAACCAAAAAGGAACCUGAGUGUAUUAUAACAUGCAAGGGCACUAAGAAACACAACAAAACAUAAAUAAAAAAUGAAGAAAUAAUUCAUACAUAUACAUAUAUUUUAUUAUCGUAUCCUUACCACCAUAUCCUAGUUUUUGGAGACUUGUCGUAUAUGUAUAGCAUAUCUUGUAUUCAUACCCAUGCAACAUAGGGAACAACAAGGGCAGCCUCACGGGCCGGCCAUUGAUUGUCCUCGUUGAAGAAAUUUGGGAACUAAAAAGAGACAUGUUUUACAGCAGCAUUCAUAUCAGGGGGAAAUUGUACUUUUAAUUUUUCAACUCAGAACCAAUUCAAGAUUAAUCGGAACCAAUCAACACUAAUGAAACUUCAUCAAUCAUACAUUCACCGAAGAGAGAAAUCCAAGUUUUGAACACUGCAAGCUAUGAUACUUGAAUUUAAGUUCAAGGGAUUUAAUCUUUUCCCCUAAAUGUAUUAAACAGUGAGGAAUUUUAUUCAGCGCAGUUUCAGAUCAUCAUUAGGGAAAAGAAAGCAAACACUACACCUUAUGGAAGCAAUGAAAUAUUCAAGUUGCAACACUAUUGAUUUUUUUUUUUUUUAACAAACAAUAUUAUCUACACUAAAGGAGAUGGGGUACCUCACAAUGGGCUAGCAAUAAUGUGGUUCAAAUUCACCUUUGGCAAGAAUCGAACCUAAGACCUCUCACUUACGAGUGAAGAGGAAUACCUCUAGACCGUACUUGAAUUAUUAGCAUUGGAAAACAGACAUUACUAAACCUUAAUUUCACUGCAGAAAUGGUGUCCAACAAUUCUAGCAACCUAAUUGAUAAAAUCAGGAACAAAUAGAAAUAAACUACACCCUACAUAAUUUUGAUAUACUCACUCUCAAUUGAAGGCUAUCUAUGCUGUGAAAGCUCCUGAUCUAUGGCCUCAAAUUCUUUAAUAUUGCUCUUUACAUUUUGAACUUUCUUGGAUAGCUGUUCAUUAUACUCUUCAACGAUCUCAGUAAAUGCCGUUAGCUGUUCCUGAUAUGUAGUGCACAGCCGUUUCUUGUUCCGAAGCUCUGCAGUUAAUUCUUGAAUUUUCUUAUCCUUCUCAUCCUACAAACAAAACACAAGACACAAGAGACAUGACUUAGAUCAUACUUGAUGCACGAAAAACAAAAUGUUGAUUAAAUAGGAUCAUACAGUAUAUUAUAUGCACAGAAAGAUACAUACAUCUCCAAACAUAGACAUAUAUGCAUGCAGUGCACACAUUGUUGUUUUGUGUAUAUUUGCAUUAAACAUUUCCCAUGUUCAGUUCAACAAUGGAAGAAGAGAAUUUUUAAAGCAAAUGGGACAACCGCACAAAGAGCUUGAAGGAAAUUGAGUUUUGAAACUUAUAUCUUAUCCAACUGCAAUAUCUCCAAAAUCAGAUCACCCAAAGGCUUAACCAGUUCACGUUGUUGACCCUGUGUUAUAUUCCAAAACAAAAGACAGCACAAGAAUUUUAGUUUCUUUGAGCCCUAAUAAGAUGACAUCCUACCCUGUGUAGUGUGCACGGUUCUGUAGCACUUAGAAUCAGUACACACUGUCAUUAGCAUGAUUUCUAGCAGUAUAACCAUCUGCCAUACUAAUUGCAAAACAGGGAUAUCUGGAUUUAAAUCUGUUAUUCCUACGAAGUUUGAUUGGUGAAAUUAUUUCAAAUUACUUAUUUUAUGUAUAAAAGAGACAAGAAAUAGAAAGUGGGACAAAUUCUUCAUAUAAAAAGUAACUGAAUGAAAAGGAAAAGGCCAGACUAAAUUAUGUUCGUGACAUAGCAUGAAGAAAAGCAAAGUAAGACGUUAAACCAGAAGUUACUCUCACUAGACUACCACAAAAAUGAGGCUCAAAAUUCACCAUAUUGAGUUUCUACCAGGUUGUAACUUUACAAGGUGAAGCUCAUGCCAAGGAUAUAGAGAUUCUAAAUGAUAUCACAUAUGGUACAGAAAUUGUCAAUCUAAUUUGGGAGUAUUCAACAUCAAAAUGCAACAUCCAUAAUUGUUUCCGAAGGUAAUACACAAAGGACCUAGUCCUGAACUGUAUCUAUGACUUGCUUUUCUGUACACAGCCGGUAGAGCUGCCUGAAUAAAUUUUCACCUCCAUCAAGAUGGUCUUAUAAAACAUAAAAUAAAAUGAAAUAAACCAAUUCUGCUGAUUAUGCAGAAUCCUAGAUUCACUUUCUCAAUGUCAGUAAGGAUCUUCAUGUUUUAAAAAGAACUGUUCGUUUCUAAUUACAUAUAUGCUUUGAGCAAGGCAUUAAAAAAAAUUUACUAGAAAUUCAUGAUACAUAAAAACAAUUUUUUGGUACUGCUACUAGUCUUCUUAAAAAGCAAUACAAGUUAGACUUUAAGAACCAACAAAGCAGCACUAACCCCAAACAGGAGUACGUAUAUGGUUUUCCUUUUUUCUGAAAGUACACUAUGGAUAUAAUAUACAAGAACUGUUUUUUAAAGGAGUAUAAAGUCUAAAUCUUACAUCUUAAAAUAUACAUCACCUGGCAAAUCAAUGAUUUGAAGACACUGAAAGUUCAACUAUUUAUACGAGAAUGUCAACAAAAUGAGAAAGAUACUCACCAAGGUUUGACGAGCUUCACGUGGGGACACCACUAGUGGAUGAUUAUGAUCCUUUAUGAAUUUUGUAAUCACCCAUUUACUGGAUUUAUCAUACUUUACGUGAAUCAUUGCCUUGCAACCUUCCCUUGUACUUGCUCGUGGUUUUCGAACCGGCCCAAAUUUACCUCGAAUACUAACACAGUGUCCCUCCUUAUUACACCCAAGUCGACGAGCAAGAAUCCUACCAUCUCUUUCAGACCGACGACAUGACAUCACACGCAUGACAAAUCCAACAUGCCGUGCAUACUCAUCAUAAAAUAUCUUGGCAGCAUCUUCAGAUUCGAAUUCCAUACCCUCAUAUGGUUCUACAAUGGAAUCGUCGUCAUAUGCAAUCAGUUCCUGCGCGUCAGAACUCUCCAAUGCUAUAUCCCCAUCCGAAUCCACUGCAAUACAUUGCCUGUUAAAUAUCUUCUCAGCUCUAACAAAAUCAUAACAAUAUUAUCUUUUGGGCUGGUAGAACAGGCAAUAUAAUGAAAUGGGAAAAAAUUUAGCUUUCCCAUCUAAGGUUAAUAUGAUUCUGCGAAAAAAAACCCAAAAUAUUACCCAACUACGCGCAAAAAAGCAUCUUCAUUUUCUGGUAUUCAAUAAUCAUAGGCAAGUAAAAUAUACGUUUCUUAUUUUAUCAAACAGGUGGUGAGCAACAUAAAAAAACACCCAAAAUACAAUUUACUGCAUAAUUUCACAACAAAUCAAAUUGACAAAGUCACUGUAAACUAAAUAAAUCCCACCACACCCUAUAGAAAAGAGAUAACAGAGAACUACAGAUUUUACCCAUUUAACAGUGAACAACAGCAGGCAGCUAAGCUAACACUCUUCAAUCCCAGUGCCAAAAAAAAUGCAAAAAAUAGUAUCCGAAUUACGAAGUACAGAGACACAGAAACCCAAACAAUUUAAACCGAUCAAAUUUAAGCAAAGUUGCUCCAGAUUCAGAGUCCUGGGGUAUGAACUUGCAUGACUGAAAUGGGAACAAAGUGGGGAUAAGAGGCCAAAAUAAAUGGAGGGUUUCGACGAAGGGCGAGGCAGAAGAAAUGGGUAUUCGUUGAAAUGUCGAUAGGAACGGAGCACUUACUUGAUUCGCGCAAGCUAAGUAGAUCUUCGUUUUCCGGUCGGGAGUGAGAACUCCGUGGAGUCUUAAAUGCUUCAAAUCGUUUCUUUUCCUUUGAGGAAGAUAGACCACGUCAGAUGAAAACUCGAAGGCAGACACUUUAAAAUAAAAUGCACGUGGCGCUUUACCGGCUGAAAUCUCUGAAUCCGGAUCCCCGAAGAUUCGUAAGGAAUUAUUUUAAAUAUUUUUAUUUAAAAUUAAACACAAAUAGUAUUGAAUAAAAAUUGAUUAUAUAAUGUAUGAUAAAUAGACACGAUUCAUAAAUUUUUAAAAUCUUCAUCAAAAGAAUCCUCUCCGAAUCCUUUUGGGAAAUCUUCACCCCUUUUCUUUCUAAUAACAAAUUAUUUAAUUCAAGCUUUUUUAUCCAAAUUCUGACUUUGAUUUGUGAGAUUUCAAAUUAAUAAAAGUGAGUGGUGUAUGAGAUUGUUUAUCGUCAAUUAUUAUGUGCGAAAUUCAUGUUAAAUUGAGAAUAUUUGUUAAAUCAACCCCUUCUUUUGAACUAGUAGUUUCUCUAAUUUAAGGAAGAUUUUUAACAGAAUGAGCAAAAUCCCCCUUAAACUGGUGUUUCUUCAAUUUAACAGAGAUUUUUCACAGAAAACCAAAACAAUUGACAGUGGACAAUCUCACAUACCACUUAUAUCAAUUUUAAAUUUGAAUGACCAAAAUAUAAAGUUAUGAUAAUCUCAUAGAUCAUUUUAGCUAAAAUAACAUUUAAUUUACUAAUAUUACUGCUCUACUAAAAAAAUUGAAAACAUGCAAAAAUUAUUUUUGCAAUUUUUCUUUUUGUAAUGUAUAGUGGUUGAGCAAAAGAAUCCAACCGCAUUAAUUACUUAAUGGUUAUGACAAUUGACAAUUUGGCAUAGUUUGUUGGUGUAAUUUUAGAGAAAUGACUUCCAUGUCGAUAACAUAAUAAAAUAAAAAUGUAUAAAUUUUUAUCUAUUUAUUUAUAUUUCAUGGCACGACCGUCAUGUGACAUUCCAUAUCAAUGUAAAUAAUUCUUGUAAUCAUAUUUUUUGGGGUAUAGUAAUCACCCAAGUCACUUGGAUUCUUACUUUAAAAUGCAGAAAAGAUAGAAAAUAUUGUAAUUGUUACAAAUAGACAAAAGAGAGAACUUCUGAAGCGGAACAUGAGCAAUGUAUCAUACUGUUUAUUAUCUUUAUUAGUGUCAAAUAAGUGAAAUAGACGUAGAAUAUGAGAUGUGAAAUAAAGUAGUAUUAUCUUGAUGCUUUUCUUCUUUUGUCCUGCAAGGGAAAGAGUAAGUUGGCACUAAUUGUUUACUUGAGAUGGAUAGAUGAUCUUUACAUUACAAAGUUCCAUUUAUAUAGAGGAGCCUGACACCCGUAGAAAAUAAAUGGCCUGAAUGAAGGUCUUCAUCCAUUUCACUAUUUCAUCUUUCUAAGACGCCGGCUUGGUAUUACUGUGCUUUGAAAAAAAAACUGUUUUUGUUGUGAUGUGAGAAUAAGCUUAUUUUUGCUGCUUUAUGUUUUUAGCUUUUUUUUCACCCAAUAUUGUGAAAAUAAGUUAUUUUUAAGUAUUUACCAAACACCUUUUUGAGCUUAAUUUUUUUUUAUACCCACUUUUUAUAAAAAAAAAACCCUAAACCCUUUUUAUAAAAGCACUUCAGUACCAAAACCAGUACUUACUCUACCCAAACGCUUUAAUUGGUAUAGCUAAAAUUCACUUUAGCUGCAUGUUGAUUUGCUUCUUUAUGCAUUCAUGUGUAGUAUUCACAUCAUAUUUCGCGACAUAUGUGUGACAUUCACACCAUAUUUCACGAGAGUAAUAAGAAUUCAAUCAUGGCUUCCACCCUGUUGAGAGCACAUGGACGAUGCAUGGUCCUCAUACAACUCUCUGACCAAAAAAUUAUGUACGCAACUAGUCAUCCAAGUGAGUCGAAAAUGGAAGCUGCCAUCUAAAAAAUACCGUUAGACCGUAUUGCUAGUGACAAGGUUGGAUCAAGAGUUCGAUUCACUUCAAUUGUAACGAACAACUCCUGAUAAAUAACUGAAACUUAUAAGUGGUUUUAUCGUACAGAGUUUUGGAAAAUCCCCUCUCCAGCAAAAAUUUUCAAUAUGCCGAAAACACAGUCUGGUACGUUAAGUGUCUUAAUACAAGUAUACGAAAACCACAACCAUCAGCAAAGGGUAAUUCUCAAGAGUUGUAUUUAAAAGGAAGAUUGGAAACAGUGUUCUGAAGCUAUACAAAACAGACCUCAUAGCAAAUUUCACGUGUAAGCGAUGGUCCGAUUCCAACUUCCUUCGGACGUCCUAUAAUCUGCUUUAUAAGCACAAUUCACAUGGAUGGCUCAGGUAAAACUGUACAUGGACUCAAUCACAUUUUCCCUACUGACUAUUUGAUGCAGACGAGAAAUUUACGCAAGGCAGUCCAAUGAAUGCCAGUGACUAAAACAUCACAAAGCUAUAGAAGGUUAGAAACUAACUAGCUUCCUAAAAUCCAGGCGAACCCCUAACACUAAAAUCAAAACAAUGACCGAAUGAUUCAUCCUACAGAAUUGUCCACGACAUUGCUUGAUUCUAUGUUUUACCAAACGAGAAAGUGCUUAAGUUGCAGAAAUCCUUAUCUGUGUCCUUGCAGUUCUUUGCCUUCAAUCUCCUUCACACUGUCUACUAUGUGUUGGAUCUUUUUUGAUAGGCUCUCGUUGUGUUCUUCAAUGUGCUCAAAAAUUAGUUCCAGAUGUCUUUUAUAGGUCACAGCACGCUUUUUCUCUAUGGCCAACUGCUGAGAUAAUUCCCGAAUCUUGUCAUGCUCAUUCUGAACGAGAAAACAAAAGGUAAUUAAAAUACACGUCAAGCUGUAUUAUUAUGAUUCACAAAUUCAAACCCAAUUAAAAUUUUCCCAACAAUAGCAUCUCCAUUUUCUCGUCAUGAUUUUCAGCAUCAAUCCAUUUCAAUGUCUGGAUUAGUCGCAAGUAAGUCUGUGGAGAAAGAACAUAACUCCCACAUGUAAUGUAUUCGUUUGUGAAAAGCAUACAUAGUCCAUUCUUCGCGUGCACAAAACCGCAAACUAGGAAAUGUUUAUGUUUCAACUACAAUACUUUAAUAGGCUAGAACCUUGUUUUAAUGAUCUAGCUGCUAACCAUGGUAACUAAAAAAAACUGCAUGGUUUUCACUUUUCACCAUACAACACAGGAGGAAACAGCGAAAACCAAAAGCCAUAACCUACACAUGCAAGCAUGGCGGACAGAAACAACAAUAAUAUAACAUAUUAAACAUCCUAGAAAGCAAGUGCAAAUCAUCUCAAGUACUCAUUGUGGAAAUGGACAACUAUGAGCUUAGGACUCGAAUACAACACAGGAGACAACAAUGAAAACCGAAAGCCAUAACCUACACAUGAAAGCAUGGCGGACAGAAGCAACAAUGAUAUAGCAUAAUUACAUUCUAGAAAGCAAUUGCAAAUCAUCUCGAGUACUCAUUGUGGAAAUGGACAACGAUGAGCUUAGGACUCAAAGACAUUUACACACAAGGAUCGAAUGGCAUGUUGGAGAAACAAAAUCACCACCAUUGCGGAAAUGGAUGUCUAUCGUACACAGCCUUAUCAUUGCUUUUGAAAAGAGGUUGUUUCCACAACUCGAACUUUGACCUUUCCAUCACAAAGGAGCAACCUUUCUGUUGUGCCAAGGCUCGCCCUCAAGGAAGUAUUAAAGAACUACAUUCCAAAAAUUCUACAACCACGUCUGAUUUUAGGCUACUGUAGUGUGUAUAGACACUAGCUGCCGCAUGUCAAAAAAAGCCCAAACAGCAAAAGAAUUCAACAGUCACUUGCCUAACAUUAAAUACUAUGUGAAUAACAUUUCAUCAAAAAAGGAAGGGAGACUAAAAACUGUUUCAGAUGAACAUCAAACCAAAAAGCCAGAGUUUUCAAGAUUUGAGUCCGAUCUAUUACGAAACCACCUUUUUUUUUUUUUUUUUUUUUUUAAAUCCUGCCUUUGCUUUUGACAUCUCCCACUCACAUUACUUUUGGCCAACUUCUAGCCAUUGUAGCCUCCAUAUUUGUAAAAUUCAAUCAUUACUAACUUCAUUACCUAGCAUCUGAUAUCAUACAGUACAGAGUGAGUUGCUAAAAUGUGCCUAACCGGAUACUGAAUAUGAUUACACUAUUUACUCUACUUCAAAUCCCAAACAUAGUGAUAGCCAUUUACUCUACUCCCAUGGUAAUAGAAAAGAAGAUAUUCAUGAAUACAGAUUGUAAUAUACCACCCCCCAUUAUUUGUAAAAGACCUAUUACUAUUAACAAACUUCAGAACUUUGCAAGGGAUAAGAAAAUUUAACAAUGGAAAAAGCCAAACACUAAUGGUCAAAAAAGGAGAAAAACAACUAAC
This 39148-nucleotide long non-coding RNA is filed under the name Malus domestica (apple). Its description in RNAcentral is "long non-coding RNA (MDOM_LNC003565)". Lineage: Eukaryota; Viridiplantae; Streptophyta; Magnoliopsida; Rosales; Rosaceae. The record is from RNAcentral.